UAUAUCUCUAAAUUGACCUUUACACAUCAGAGAAAUACCAGAAUGCAGGGAGAAAGAAGGAUCUGGAUUUCACAUUGGCUUCAGGUGCACUUGCUUCCUUCUCAUUUAUCCUUUUUUUUUUCACCUGGUCAGUUCUGCUGCAGACAUGAAAAUUAUCUGUGACAUAAAGAGAAAGGAAGAAUUUGCUUUUAUAGCUCUUGAUUAUCAAUACGAUCUUGAAGCUGCCAACACCAAUUCCUCCUUAAACUUGAUACUUUCUAUAAAGAAAAUUAACGAUAAGUCAAUUGUUGGAUACAUGAUAUUAAUAUUCUCUAUGCAAUUGGCUGUGUUACUUUUUUAUAAUCUAUUCUAUAUAAGUGUUUUAGUAUCUAUUUUAGGUUCUGAGGUAUCGAAAGGUCAAUUUUUCUUUGAAGUAGACAAGUGUCUAUAAUGUUAAAAUGGAUCAAAAUAUCAAGAUGCAAUCCACCAACUGUGCAGGUAAUUUCCUCAAAUUCUUAUCAAGUAUUUGUUCCCAUCAGAUGUAAUUAGUGUUUUAAUGUUAAUCUUCAGAAAGAAUUCUCUUCUUUGCAAUGGAUAAGAGUUUUAAAAAAUUUAAGACUCUUCUAAGAGACGACAAAGAAACCUAUAUCAAUGUACCAAAGAAAGACCUACAACAAGAAUAGAAGUCCAAGCUUUCACAUCCUAAAUUAAACAAAUUAUUUCAUAUAUAUUACAGACUGUCCUUUUUAUUUACUGAUAAGACACAAAUAGCACAAAUGACAGGAACAGAAAAGGUCCUAGCUAAAAAAAGAAUGAGCAAAAAAUUUAUCUCCAUUUUAAUUGUUGGGCCCGUGCUAAGCGAGAUUAAGAAAUAUCUAGUUUAAGAUAUAUUAGGUGAAAAAGCAAAAAAUACGCCUGUCUCGUACACAGAUUUUUAAUAUGUUGUUAGCGUGCUUGUUUGUGCUAUUCACUACCCCUCAUUUGAUUUAUUUUCUCUAUAUGUUUUACUUGCCACGUGCUUAUAUUUUACUUACUGGAAAAUGAACUUUAUGUGAUUAGCAAGUGUGGUAACGGCACACCUCUAGGUGGAGUACCUUUUUACUCACAACUUUUUUUUCCUUUUGCGAGAUGCUACUCAAGAGGUUGUUGUCUGGAGAAAUCAAGUUGUUUCGUGAUUUGAGAAUCUGUCUUGAGCUUGGAUACUCGGCUUUCUCUAUCUAGUUCGCGCGUCAAAGAUGGUAUUUCGUAAAUGUACCAUAAUCUGCAGAUUAUCACAAAGGCAACUACUGGUCUGCACUACAGUCAUAUUUAUGCAUUGGAGGAAAGAUAUCAAGAAGUAUUAUGGGAAAAAUCACAGUCUCAGUCUGAUAUUGAUCAAUGUGAAGCAUAUUACGAAGCUGCUGGGGGAACAAGGAAGAGAAGAAUAUAUGGUCUUGGAUCUCAAGCACAAAAUUAUGCACUAACAAUACUUGAUGUAUGUGUGGGUUCUUUUGGUAGUUGAUAGCUUGGUGUUGUCGGUGUUUUGGACUUAACGAUUAGG
Molecule: long non-coding RNA, 1519 nt
Organism: Lycium barbarum (goji berry)
Lineage: Eukaryota; Viridiplantae; Streptophyta; Magnoliopsida; Solanales; Solanaceae
Exons: 3
Source: RefSeq, a predicted model, not a curated record